UAUUAAUGAAGAGGCUAGGCAUGUCAAA
Molecule: non-coding RNA, 28 nt
Filed under: Rattus norvegicus (Norway rat)
Lineage: Eukaryota; Metazoa; Chordata; Mammalia; Rodentia; Muridae
Source: RNAcentral